Molecule: transfer RNA, 73 nt
Filed under: Vicugna pacos (alpaca)
Lineage: Eukaryota; Metazoa; Chordata; Mammalia; Artiodactyla; Camelidae
Description: tRNA-Ala (GGC) (tRNA-Ala-GGC-25-1)
Rfam family: tRNA
About the family: Transfer RNA (tRNA) molecules are approximately 80 nucleotides in length.
Source: RNAcentral
GGAGAGUAUAGCUCAGUGGUAGAGUGUGUGCUUGGCAUGCACAAGGUCCUGGGUUCAAUCCCCAGUACCUCCA